GCCGAGAUCGUCUAGUUGGUUAGGACACUGUGUUGUGGUCCAUCAAUUGCUAAACCGCAGAAACCUGAGUUCGAAUCUCAGUCUGGGCA
This is a non-coding RNA of Stachybotrys elegans, 89 nucleotides long. The record is from the annotation of a GenBank genome assembly. Lineage: Eukaryota; Fungi; Ascomycota; Sordariomycetes; Hypocreales; Stachybotryaceae.